GACGAACGCUGGCGGCGUGCCUAAUACAUGCAAGUAGAACGCUGAAGAGAGGAGCUUGCUCUUCUUGGAUGAGUUGCGAACGGGUGAGUAACGCGUAGGUAACCUGCCUUGUAGCGGGGGAUAACUAUUGGAAACGAUAGCUAAUACCGCAUAACAUUGAAUGACACUUUUCUUUUAUUUGAAAGGGGCAUUUGCUCAACUACAGAAUGGCCCUGCGUUGUAUUAGCUAGUAGGUGAGGUAAUGGCUCACCUAGGCGACGAUACAUAGCCGACCUGAGAGGGUGAUCGGCCACACUGGGACUGAGACACGGCCCAGACUCCUACGGGAGGCAGCAGUAGGGAAUCUUCGGCAAUGGGGGCAACCCUGACCGAGCAACGCCGCGUGAGUGAAGAAGGUUUUCGGAUCGUAAAGCUCUGUUGUAAGUCAAGAACGGGUGUGAGAGUGGAAAGUUCACACUGUGACGGUAGCUUACCAGAAAGGGACGGCUAACUACGUG
RNAcentral lists this ribosomal RNA (497 nucleotides) under uncultured bacterium. RNAcentral's name for it is "partial 16S ribosomal RNA". It matches the Rfam family "Bacterial small subunit ribosomal RNA", at positions 28 to 507 of the family's 1533-position model. The record is from RNAcentral.